AAGAGGUGUCUUGAACACCAAGAACUG
RNAcentral lists this transfer RNA (27 nucleotides) under Sceloporus poinsettii. RNAcentral describes it as "partial tRNA-Ser". The record is from RNAcentral. Lineage: Eukaryota; Metazoa; Chordata; Lepidosauria; Squamata; Phrynosomatidae.